UACAGAGGGUGCGAGCGUUGUCCGGAAUCACUGGGCGUAAAGGGCGCGUAGGUGGCGUCGCAAGUCGAUGGUGAAAGCUCGGCGCUCAACGCCGAGUCGGCCCUUGAUACUGCGAGGCUGGAGCACUGUAGAGGCAGAUGGAAUUCCGGGUGUAGCGGUGGAAUGCGUAGAGAUCCGGAAGAACACCGGUGGCGAAGGCGGCCUGCUGGGAUCUUGCUGACG
Molecule: ribosomal RNA, 222 nt
Filed under: uncultured bacterium
Lineage: Bacteria
Description: partial 16S ribosomal RNA
Rfam family: Bacterial small subunit ribosomal RNA
Source: RNAcentral